UGCCUGCGGGGCUGCAGCUGUUUCCCUUGCUGAGAGUUGCCAGGAGUAGGGCAGCAGCAGAGCACAGGAUGUGAACAUGACAAGCCCCAGCUGAGCCGGAUUGCCCUGAUCCCACCUGGUGUGGCGUGAAUUGGCUCUCACACUCCCACAUAUAGGGAGAGCUCCAGCUCAGCCACGCUCACCUGGGGGUGCUCAUUACCCCCCCCCAAAAAAAAAGAAAAAGGCCCUGUAUCAGCCUAGCCUUUCUCACUCUAGGCCAGGACCUGGCAGCUGUCUACAGUGAAGACUGAGAAGUCUGAGACAGCGGGACUCUACCAACAGCAUCUGUGUCCCCUGUGAGAAAUGCAGGUUCUUGAGCCCAAGGCAACAGCAGAGCAGUUCUGCUAAUGAAUGGCCUUUGUACCUGAGGCUCUGAGAUCCCAGGUUCCAGCCCCAUCAUCAUCCAGAGCUGGUCAGGACUCUGGAUAAAAGUAUGAAGGAACAGGGGUUCUCAGCCCUUCCACCCUUGAACCUUCCAGAUCAGAAGCUGUCGAUGAGACUGGGGCAUUUAUUUAUUACUUAUGUAUUUGUGGGUUUUUUAGACAUAAGCAGAGUAGCAGAGAAAAUGAGAGAGACCGCAGCCCCAGAGCUGCCUUCAAUGCAGCAGGGGCUCGGUUUGAAACUGGCUCAUGCACAUUGCAAUAUAAAUGCAUGGAGGAAGUGAACUAUUUCACUGCCUCCCUACCCAGGAUCCUCGUUUCUAGAAUUUGGACCUUUGUUCUCCUGGGAAGUUGCCCUUUUUGCAUAGACAGUGACAAGCAGUAGCCGUCCCCAAGGCUAGCUGGCCAGGGGUGUCACAUCCUUUUGAGUUCUGUGUCCUCGGUCCAUCUGACCAUUUUCUCCUCCUAGUGCACUCUUUACCUAAAAGUGACUUUUUUAUUAUUAAUAAUUAAGCUGUUAUAUUUUUUAGAUAUUUUUAAUUUUUAUUUAUUUAUUCCCUUUUGUUGCCCUUGUUGGUUUUUAUUGUUGUAGUUAUUGAUGUCAUUGUUGUUGGAUAGGACAGAGAGAAAUGGAGAAAAGAGGGGAAGACAGAGAGGGGGAGUGAAAGAUAGACACCUGCAGACCUGCUUCACCGCUUGUGAAGCGACCCCCCUGCAGAUGGAGAGCCAGGGACUCAAACCAGGAUCCUUAGCCGGUCCUUGCGCUUUGCGCCACCUGCACUUAACCCACUGCGUUACCGCCCGACUCCCUUAGAUCUUUAUUAAUGAGAGAGAAUCUGUCAUGUGCAAUACCGGGGAUCGAACUAGGGACCUCAUGGUUUAGAGUCCAGCACAUUACCUACUGCUCCUCCACCCAGGUUGCAAGAAGUAGUCUUAAAAACUGAAGAGUUUCUAGAUAUUACUAGGAAAAGAAAGAAAAAAAACUGAAGAGUUGGCAAAGCCCUCUCUCUCUCACUUUUUUUCAAAUUUUUUUAUUAUCUUUAUUUAUUGGAUAGAGACAGCCAGAAAUGGAGAGGGAAGGGGGUGAGAGAGACACACACAGACACACACCUGCAGCCCUGCUUCACCACUCGCAAAGCUUUCCCCCUCCAGGUGGGGACCAGGGUUUUGAACACAGAUCCUUGUACACUGUAACAUGUGCGCUCAGCCAGGUGUGCCACCAUCUGGCCCCAAGUGUACUAGUUGUUGUUGUUAUUAUUACCGGAUAGAGACAGAAAUUGAGAGGGGAGAGACAGAUAGACACCUGCAGCCCUGCUUCACCACUUGUGAAGCUUUCCUCCUGCAGGUGGAGACCAGGGUCUUGAACCUGGUUCCUUAAGCACUGCAAUGUGAGCGCUAACCAGGUGCGCCACCACCUGGCCCUCUCCCAUUUUCUACCACAACCCCAUCCUUUCAGAGAGCCACUUUCUCGCCCUGACCCGGUCGCUCCUAUUGGAGGGAAGCCAGUGCUGUGUGGUCAGGGAUCCUCGAGGGCCUUGAGCCCCAGUGUUCAGCUUGGGGGUGUCUGGCUCAGGAACCAGGAGAACCCCACCUCUCAGCAUGGAGGGACGACCGUUCUGGCACUAGCUGAUGCUGUAAAAGGGCUGGUGCUUACAGGCCACGUACCCACCCCUGCCCCCCACCUCUGGAGCCCCCAGCUGCUCUCCUGCCUCCAUAACACCCUGGGGAGACCUUGUGUGUCACUGCUGGAAGUGCCUCAGCGUGUGAAAACUGAGGACCCGCCAGAGCUCAGGCCUUUAAUCAUGUCGCCGCCCCCCUCCCCCCACCUGAGACUCUGGCCACUCACGUGGCAAUCUCGUGGGCCCUGUGGCGUUCCUUCCUCCAUCUCUCUCUCUCUCUCUUUCUUUUCUUCUUGCUUCUUUUUUAAAUAUAAGCAAAAAAGCAGGGAAAGAAUGAAAGAAACCAUAGCACCAAAAGUUCCUCCAGUGAGGUGGGGGACGGGCUCAAGCCUGGGUUGCAUACAUGGCAAAGCACUGUCCAGAGGGACUGCCUCAUUGCUAGGUGUUUCUGACUCCUCUUCUUCCUCUCUUUCUUCUUCUUCUUUUUUUAAAUGUUUUUUUAAUUUUUUUAUUAUCUUCAUUUAUUGGAUAGAGAUAGCCAUAAGUCAAGAGGGAAGGAGGUGAUAGGGAGAGAGACAGAGAGACACCAGCAGCCCUGCUUCACCACUCUCAAAGCUUUCUCCCUACAGGUGGGGACCAAGGGCUCGAACCCAGGUCCUUGCACAUUGUAACAUGUGCACUCAACCAGGUGUGCCACUGCCCAGCACCCCCCCUUUUUUAUUUAUUGAGUUGUCAAUAAAUAAAAGUCAUGAUGCAUUUCUGUAUAGAAAAAUAACGUCAGCAGGGGCAGGUUGUGUAAUGGUUAUGCAAAGAAAGUCUACUGCCAGGAGUCGGGCGGUAGCGAAGCGGGUUAAGCGCAGGUGGCGCAACAGAGGCUCCAAAGUCCCAGGUUCAGUCCCCUGCACCAUGGGGGGUGGGGGUGGCACACCAGGCUAAACACACAGUACAAAGCUGAAGGACCCACAUAAGGAUCCCGGUUCAAGCCCCCGGGUCCCCAUCUUCAGUGGGGUUGCUUUACUAGCAGUGAAGUGGGUUUGCAGGUGUCUUUCGCUCUCUCUGUUUCCCCUCCCGUCUCAAUUUCUCUCUGUCCUAUCUAAAAUAAUAAUAAUAAUAAUAAUAAGUUGGAAAGAUGGCCAUCAGGAGCAGUGGGUUUGUAGUGCAAGCAUUGAGCCCCAGCAAUAACCCUGGAUGAAAAAAAAAGAAAAGAAAAGAAAA
Molecule: long non-coding RNA, 3253 nt
Organism: Erinaceus europaeus (western European hedgehog)
Lineage: Eukaryota; Metazoa; Chordata; Mammalia; Eulipotyphla; Erinaceidae
Exons: 2
Source: RefSeq, a predicted model, not a curated record